UCCUUUAGGCAAAAGGAAACAGCAACUCUU
RNAcentral lists this non-coding RNA (30 nucleotides) under Rattus norvegicus (Norway rat). Lineage: Eukaryota; Metazoa; Chordata; Mammalia; Rodentia; Muridae. The record is from RNAcentral.